Molecule: unclassified non-coding RNA, 328 nt
Filed under: soil metagenome
Description: partial contains 5.8S ribosomal RNA, internal transcribed spacer 2, and large subunit ribosomal RNA
Rfam family: 5.8S ribosomal RNA (bases 1-120)
Source: RNAcentral
GAUGAAGAACGUAGCGAAAUGCGAUAAGUAAUGUGAAUUGCAGAAUUCAGUGAAUCAUCGAAUCUUUGAACGCACAUUGCGCCCCUUGGUAUUCCGAGGGGCAUGCCUGUUCGAGCGUCAUUAUAACCCCUCAAGCUCAGCUUGGUGUUGGGGCCUGCCGCACGGGCAGCCCUUAAAAUCAGUGGCGGUGCCAUCUGGCUCUAAGCGUAGUAAUUCUUCUCGCUAUAGAGUCCCGGUGGAUGCUUGCCAUUAACCCCCAAUUCUCUAUGGUUGACCUCGGAUCAGGUAGGGAUACCCGCUGAACUUAAGCAUAUCAAUAAGCGGAGGA